GUCGUGUUCGUCUAGCUGGCCCAGGACACCGGUCUUUCAUACCGGAGAUCGCGGGUUCGAGUCCCGCACACGACGCCA
Molecule: transfer RNA, 78 nt
Filed under: Ramlibacter sp.
Lineage: Bacteria; Pseudomonadati; Pseudomonadota; Betaproteobacteria; Burkholderiales; Comamonadaceae
Description: tRNA-Glu
Rfam family: tRNA
About the family: Transfer RNA (tRNA) molecules are approximately 80 nucleotides in length. Their secondary structure includes four short double-helical elements and three loops (D, anti-codon, and T loops).
Source: RNAcentral